This 181-nucleotide unclassified non-coding RNA is filed under the name uncultured fungus. Its description in RNAcentral is "sequence contains ITS2". The record is from RNAcentral. Lineage: Eukaryota; Fungi.
CAACCCCUCAAGCCCGGCUUGGUGUUGGGGCCCCUACGCUCGCCGUAGGCCCCGAAUUACAGUGGCGGGCUCGCCGCGAUCUCGAGCGUAGUAGUGUUACCUCGCUCAGGGCGCGCGGCGGGUGCCGGCCGUGAAAACGAAACGGGGGACCCUAACAAGUCCCCACGACAAACACACACAA